RNAcentral lists this long non-coding RNA (416 nucleotides) under Anas platyrhynchos platyrhynchos (common mallard). RNAcentral describes it as "lncRNA (ENSAPLG00000023886.1)". Lineage: Eukaryota; Metazoa; Chordata; Aves; Anseriformes; Anatidae. The record is from RNAcentral.
UUAUUUAUUUAUCUAUCUAUUUAUUUAUUUAUUUAUGUUUGUGUAAAUCCCUUAUUUUAAAGCUCUCUGCAUGGUGUUUAACCUUGAACAGUGUGUAUGUUGCCUUAAGUACCCCAGAAUCAAGGUUGUCUAACAGCGAACUGUGCUUGGUAGAGCUGGUUGACAACCAGGAAGGGUUUCUGGGAGCCCAGGCAGUUUCUGAGUUAUCGUGUGCCAGCAGAGCAGACCUAUUCUGUGAUGUUGAAAAGGCCUCCCUUGUACAGUCUCACCACCAAAGAAGAGUGCCAGGCAACAAAAUAGAUAGUGGUGUCAAGUGCCCUGGAAGCAAUGUGUGCAGUACGGAGUUUUCCUGCACACAAGGGCAACCCAAUAAAAGGCUGCAUCUGAAAGGCAGUGGCAAGAAAGAGCUUAGAUGA